UACUUUCCACUGGGAUCCAGUCCACAGCAUAUUCACAGAAGCACUUGUCUUGCUGCAGCAGAGCGUGGUGGAGGUGGGAGGAAGAAGGUCUGCCUGGGAGCUGGCAACCCCACACCUCACACCACUGCUAGGUAAACAGUCCAUGGAUCCUCCGUGCAUCUUCCUCCCACUUCAAGUCUUACCUGUAUUUGGCAGCGGGAUGUAAGGAAGAAGCAGACAGACAGAUAAAGGAACAGCAUGUGCCAUGAAAGAUAGAAAGUUGACCUUAAAAUGGAAUUUAUUCCUGAAGAUUUCCUUCUCCUAAACAAGAUGUUUAAGAUGGAGUCCAAUAGCAGAGCAUUCAGACUUGAAAGACCAAGCAAAACACAUGAAGUCAUCAAGAGAUUGAAGUUUGUGGAAGAUGUCCCUCAUGUCAAGAUUUCCUUGCCAAUUUCUCUAGUACAUGGAGUAAUUCCCAAGACAUCCUGUCAGCCUUAGGUACAGCUUGGGAAGAUCCACUCAGUGAGAUUUAAUCCCAGCAAGAUUCAUGGCUGCUAGUGGCACAGCAGUGGGAAGUUACAGGUGCUAAGGACUUUGUGAGAUCCAACAAGUCAACAAGUCCCAGGAAAUGGCAAGGAGGAAGAAAAUCAGGUAAAGAAGAUAGAACCACAGGUAAAGAAUGCCAGGUAAUAAGUGAUGGAAAACUGAGGAGUAAAAAGUUUCAUAAACAUCCUGCAGUGGAAAAUGAACAUUUAAGACCACAGGGGCUACUUAAUGUGUUGGGACUGCCCAAAGCCUUGUUAUGCUGUUUAAAUUCACAGUGACCAAAAACACAGCUGAAUAUCAAGUAAUCCUUGUUCUCAUGGGAAACCCAGUGUGUUAUUUCAUUAAAUCACUCAGCCAUUUUUAACUGCUUGAAAGAUUUUCUGGUUUUCCAUGUCUAUCUGAUAAAACGUAUUUUUUCUCCUUAUCGCCCUUGCUCAUUCUCUUAGACCAACAGUAGUAACACUCUUGUUUUAAAACAUAUAGUACUGGAAGCACCUGAAAUAAUCAGAGUGAGAAACGUGAGAACACUAAAAACUGGGAGAAAAAAUGUAAUUUCACUCCAUGACAAUUUAUGGGAAAAGAAAAUCAUUGGGUGAUGUUAAACUUUAUUUCCCUGAAAAUCACAAGAUUUAUUGCAGAAAGAUGAAAGUUGUUCCAAAGAAUGGUCACUGUUACUGGAGAGCAACAUGUAACUGUCAUAUCGCAGAUCGCUGCAGAUCUCCUGCAUCUGGCCACUUCCAAGCCCCGUGCUGGGGCAAGGUGGAGGAAUCUACUGUACUCCUGAGAGCAGAAAGCUGGGUGGAUGUGCAGGACUUGAAGAUCUUUUGGUAGUUUUGCCUGUCUCUUGAAAGAAUAAAAGCCUUUUA
This is a long non-coding RNA of Oxyura jamaicensis (ruddy duck), 1391 nucleotides long. RefSeq lists it as uncharacterized. Lineage: Eukaryota; Metazoa; Chordata; Aves; Anseriformes; Anatidae. The record is from RefSeq and is a predicted model, not a curated record. The transcript has 6 exons.